AGCGCUGCCCGCCCCCACAGCCCAGAGCCGGUCAAGGGGUGACCCGGGCAGGUGUCGUCCUCGGCCAGAUGUGGCGGGGCGCAGCCCGGGCCCUUCGCCGGGAGUGGUGGGCCCCGGGGAGGCCCUGCAGCAAGGGUGGCGGCGCAGCGUCAGCGCCUCGGAGCGCCCCCAGCUGCUGGAACUGCGGAGGCCAGGGGGCGCCCGCGGGCGGAGAUCGACUCUUCUGUCCCGCCUGCCGGGCUCUGCAACCGCCCAGCCCCGAGCCCGACUUCUUCCGCCUCAUGGACUGCGCCCCGUCCUUCACAGUGGACGUCCGGAAUCUGCAGCGCCGGUACCAGGAACUCCAGCGCCUGGUGCACCCCGAUAACUUCAGCCAGAAGUCACAGACUGAAAGGGACUUCUCAGAACAGCAUUCCACACUGGUGAAUGAGGCCUACAAGACCCUGCGUACCCCGAUGAGCCGAGGGCUCUAUCUGCUGAAGCUCAGGGGCUUGGAGAUCUCCGAGGGUACAGACACCAACGUGGACAUGCAGUUUCUCGGAGAAAUCAUGGAAGUCAAUGAGAAGCUUGAAGGAGCUGAGAGUCAGGCUGAAACCAGAGAGAUUGAAGCCUUGGUCAAAGUGUCCCAAGUGUCCAUCCCCCUCCCCCUCCAUGUGACAAAUAGUACUUUUGGAGAGGAAAAAGUCAGCACCACUGAUCAAUCCAUUGAGAAAGUCUGAAAACCUGUGCCACGGGACAGCUGUGGACCUCCCACCUCCAUGAAGGGGCAGGACAGGGGAAGAUUCUCAUCUCUCCUCAUUCUAGUCCCGCAUAAGCAGAAAGAAUUGACCGAAGACGUGAGCCAAGCUUUCGAACAAGGUGAUCUUCAGAAAGCCAAGGAACUUUUAGGAAAAAUGAAAUACUUUGUAAAUUUAGAAGAAAAAGUGAAACUAAAGAAGACACCCUCCUAACUGGGAAUGAUGACUUUAUACUCUCUUCGUUUCCAUUAAAUUAUUGUACAGAUGCUUUU
Molecule: RNA transcript, 1009 nt
Organism: Dromiciops gliroides (monito del monte)
Lineage: Eukaryota; Metazoa; Chordata; Mammalia; Microbiotheria; Microbiotheriidae
Gene: HSCB
Gene name: HscB mitochondrial iron-sulfur cluster cochaperone
Exons: 7
Source: RefSeq, a predicted model, not a curated record